UUGGAUAUGAAACACAAAGUUGCAUGGGAACACAAAAGCAACAAAACCUCGGACUAGACUUCUAUAAUGAUGACAAUGAAAGAUUGGAUGAGGGGAUGCAAUGCAGCUUCACAGAGCUCCUCCUGCAAGGAGCUUCGAAUAUUGAGAACUCAAUGUAUAUGACAACAAGCAGAGUAGAUGAAAUGGCAUCAGAUGUAUUUGGUACACAAAGCAAUAGAAUGCCACUUG
This is a long non-coding RNA of Phragmites australis (common reed), 228 nucleotides long. RefSeq lists it as uncharacterized. The record is from RefSeq and is a predicted model, not a curated record. The transcript is spliced from 3 exons. Lineage: Eukaryota; Viridiplantae; Streptophyta; Magnoliopsida; Poales; Poaceae.